AUUGAACGCUGGCGGCAGGCCUAACACAUGCAAGUCGAGCGGAGCGGCGGACGGGUGAGUAAUGCCUAGGAAUCUGCCUGGUAGUGGGGGAUAAAGUCCGUAAACGGGCGCUCAUACCGCAUACUAUCAGAUGAGCCUAGGUCGGCUUAGCUAGUUGGUGUGGUAAAGGCUUACCAAGGCGACGAUCCGUAACUGGUCUGAGAGGAUGAUCAGUCACACUGGAACUGAGCCACGGUCCAGACUCCUACGGGAGGCAGCAGUGGGGAAUAUUGCACAAUGGGCGCCAGCCUGAUGCAGCCAUGCCGCGUGUAUGAAGAAGGCCUUCGGGUUGUAAAGUACUUUCAGCGGGGAGGCGUUACCCGCAGAAGAAGCACCGGCUAACUCCGUGCCAGCAGCCGCGGUAAUUC
RNAcentral lists this ribosomal RNA (407 nucleotides) under uncultured bacterium. Its description in RNAcentral is "partial 16S ribosomal RNA". It matches the Rfam family "Bacterial small subunit ribosomal RNA", at positions 30 to 526 of the family's 1533-position model. The record is from RNAcentral.